CGGGGGGGCCUUUGUCAUCGGAUCAGCUUUCAGCGUCGUAUACCAUAACUAUCUUACCUCCGUAGCAGCUGAGGCCAACGUCGUCGCCGUGUCCAUCGAGUACAGGUUGGCUCCAGAGCACCCUAUCCCCGCAUGCUUCGAUGAUUCCUGGGCAGUAACAAAAUGGGUCGCCUCCCAUGCCAAUAGACAAGGCCCCGAACCCUGGUUCAACAAUCACGCCGACUUUUCAAGGGUGUUUUUGGCAGGUGACAGCGCCGGAGGCAAUAUUGCACAUUACAUGGCGGUCAAAGCCAGCCGAGAAGGGUUGGGGGAUGGUGUGAAGCUUGUGGGGUUGAUUUUAGCGCAUCCAUAUUUUGGCAAGGGAGGGCGUGAAGAAUUAUGGGAGUACAUCACUUCAGAUUUCAAAGGGUGGGAUGAUCCAAGGCUUAAUCCCAUGGCGAGUUCUGGAUUGUUGUCGGGCCUUUUGUGCGAGAAGAUUCUGUUGUGUACAUCGGAGACAGAUUUCAUUCGAGAUCGGAGUUUGCAUUACAGUGAGGCGCUGAAGAAGAGCGGAUGGAGGGGUGAAUUGGAGGUUGUGGAUGUUGAAAAGGAGGGCCAUGUUUUUCAUAUACUGAAUCCAAGUGGCGACAAUGCUGGAAUCUUGAUGAAACGCCUGGUUUCAUUCUUGGGAAAUUAGGCCCCGAUGAUGCUGUUUUGAUUUUCAGUUUGCUGCCUGCCGUCGUCCGUACGUUACUUUAAAGUUUCAAUGCAAAAAAAAAAAAGUACCGCCUUUCUUUCUAAAGCCUUGUACUACCAGUCACGGAUACAAACCCAUUGCUGCGUGUUUCUCGCAUCCGGUCUGCCUCAGUCCAGCAUGCCUAGUACUAUUAAGCGCCAUUUGGUUGCGAUAACUUAUUAAAAAGCACUUUCUAAUAGAAUUUUUAAUAAAAAUAGUUAUCAACUGCUUAAAUGCUUUUGAAUAUAUUAUUUAAAAAUAUAAUUCAAUAAGUACUUAUUAUAUUUAAUAACGUGUAAUUUUAAAAUUUUUAAAAACGUAUAUCACAAUAUUUGGUUCAUAAUAUAGGAUGAGAUGAUUAAAUUUGAUAUUUUAUUUUUUAAAUCAUAAAAAUUACUCUAAAAAGCAUAAAAUUUGAGUUUGUUAAAAGUACUUUUAACACCAAAAGUUCUAUUCCUAAUUUUAUGAAAUGAUUUUCAGUAAACAUUUUAAAAAUACUUUUAACACUUAAAAGUACUUUUUUACUAAAAUCCGAAACGGGGCCUAAUGAUGAUUCCACGAAAGGAGUUAGAAACUUCCACAAGCUGGAAAUUAGCAGCACUAGCUUUCUCGUGUCUUCAUCGGCGGUCAUUUUUGUUUUGUGAGGGGUUGUUCGAGUCUAUUCAUUAGGGCCAUACAAGUUACAUUAAUAUUUUUACUCAAACUAUACGAUAUAGAUUUUUAUGGCAACCAUUAGCUGGCUAAUCCAAUUUCCAUUGCAAAAAAAAAAAAAAAAAAUUGUUCUACUUAUAUCAUUAACAUAAUUUUCAGUCUUUUUUUUUUUAAAUUUUACAUAUAUUACAUCAAAAAAAUACUACGAUAUUAUUUAAGAUAUUUUUUCUAAAUAAUUUCCUAUCCAAACGGAGCCAUUAUUGUUUCCUGCUUGGAAGACUAACACCAGUCUUUGCUGGAGCACAUGGCCGGAGUUUUUGUUAGCAUAACACCAGAAUGACAGAAAGACUGUACUAGAGUGUCUUCAAUUUUAAGCCUAAGACCAGCCCCGUAGUCGCAAGUGAUAGAAAUAGUCGUAGUUUAUAACCAUGGUUAGAAAUUGCCAUGAGUUCCUCUUCAUUAAGCUCCGGUUUUAAAGGGCAAUCAAUUUGGUAGGAUUGGGCUGGGUUGGGUAUUCUGCUAGUCAACUGCCGUCAAUUGUUUAUUUGUUGUGAUAGCUACUAGUCGUUCAGACCCCGCGGGCACCUAACUUCUGGGAAGCAUUUGGUGACAUGAUAUGUCAAAGUUUUCAAUAUUGGAGGGCUAAAUUAUUUAGUCUCCAGAAUAUUCUAGGUGUUCCAUCUUAGAUUUUUUGUUAGCUGUCUUGAAAAUUUUUCUGAAACUGAAAUUGAACUCAUUUUGGGAAAAUAUCAAGACACCAAAUUCAUCGCCCUGAAUAUCAACCACUAAACAAACAAUUGGUAUUUAACCAGAACUAUAUUAUGUGGAGUGUGGAUUAGUGUGUAGAUGUGUCGUCAAAUGCUAGCAAGAAGAUGAAUGUUGGCAUACCAAACUCAUCACCCUGCCUGAAUGUUAAACACUAAAGGUGGUAGUUAACCAAGAAUAUAUAACCACCAGCCACCAAGAAUAUAUAACCACUAGACUAAACUAGGCCACCACCAAAUCCUUAAGUCCACCGUCAAAUCCUUAAAGCUUGAUGAGGUGGUGAUCCCUUGACCUCCUACCAGUUCCCACAAUAUGUGGCUUCUCUAGACAAAUUCAGAUGGAUGCGUAGUGCACCCAUUUGAUGCGAUAGUAAUUCAGUCACCAUCGGCUUCCUGUAAAUUUAACUGGGCUUCCCCUUAAAUUAUGAUAGAAUAGAAUUAUAUAGAUAAAAUGACGAUUGAAAAAAAAAACCAAGAAUAUAUUUUGUGGAUUAGUAUACUAUUUCUUGUCGAAUGAUAAACGUUGUUAUUAAUCCGAGCCCCAUUAAAAGUCGAUCCACCUCCAAAGAGUCAAACCCCUGUUUAGAAAUUAGGCCUUUAACUAAGGUCGCUACAUUCUUCCAAAAUGCUUUGGGUACCCGUACUUCCCCUUUUACUGAUGAGGAACUCGAACCUAGAGGUGUUCACGAAUCGAGUCGAUCACGAGCGGCUCGAGUACGAGUUCGAGUCGAGCUCGAGUUCAAAAAUAUUAAGCUCGUUGGCUUGCGAGCUCAAUUAUAUAUUUUUUUAUUUUUAUUUUAUAUUUUAAUAGUAAAAUUACACAUAUAUCCCUAAUAGUUUAUUAUUUGUUAAAAAAUUAUUAUUUUAUUUAUUUUUAAAAAUAAUAUAAAUAUUUUUAUUUUUCAAAAAAAUUUUAUUAUUAUUUUAUUUUAUUUUUUAAGCUCGAGCUCGAACUCGACGCGAAUUUGAAUUGAGCUCGAGCUCGAGCUUGAUAUUUUGAGCUCGUCGAACUCGAGGUCGAGUUUGAGUUUCACAAAAUUAACUAAAGGUUCGUCUCGAUUAGGCCAAAGUUCAGCUUGACUCGGUUCGUUUGCACCCAUACUUGAACCUGCGUUCCACUAAAGCCCAAUUAAGUUUUAAGCUUUGAAGUUAAUAAUUUGCAAAAAUAAAAUUUAAAAAAAUCUUGAAAAUAGCAAGUGAUGAUUUUACUACGUUUCUCCGUUCAACUAGAGGUCACCUUUUUUUUUUUUGAAACUUCAAUUAGAGGUCACUUAAACCUCAAGAAAUAAGGAUUUACCUUUAAAAUGCUUGGAUAUUCUUUUUUAAGAAUAUGCAAAAAAAAAAAAAAACAUUGAUCUAGGUUUGUUUGGAUAGUGCUUUUAUCCCAAAUUUUUCAAUCACCUUUUUAUAUCACAUACAUCACAUCAUAAAAAGUGCUACAGUAAUUAUUCAAAAUAAUAUUUCAAAUAAUACAUUAUCCAAACAUAAGCCUAGGAUUUGUUUGGAUAGAGUAUUAUUUGAAAUAUAUUUAAAAUAAUUAUUAUAAUAUUUUUUAUGAUGUGAUGUAUGUGAAAUAAAAAGAUAGUUAAAAAUAUAAAAAAAUAAAUUAAAAAUUUUAUUUAUGAUGCAAGCGAAACAGUUCUAGUAUGCUACUUUCUCAUCUCAAUUUAUUUGUUAUGUCUCUCAAAAAUUAAAAUUUUCAAAAAUAAUGAUUUGAUUGUGAUGUAUCGGAAUGGAGGAUAUUUAUAGUCCCAAAUAAAUGUUACAUCUGUAGGGGAGCCAUGGGCCGACUCCUAGGCGUUUGGCAUUUGUCACGUGUCAGAGGUUUGAAGCCAAAUCCGUGCGUUAGAUCAGCAAGCGAUGGCUUGACAAGGCCGAGAUCUAGCUAUUAUAUUGCAAUUCCAAGCUGGCUCCAAAUAGUAGGUGGCGUCUUUCUCAUGGUCAUUCAUCGUUACUUUUGGGAGAUAUCCCGUUUGGUGAAAACAUCUACCUUGUAUAUAAGAAAAGAGCAAGGUUUAGUGUUUGCCUUUAUUCUUGUCACGUGGCUUUUUCAUUGUCUGACAAGUGGCAAGGUAAAAUAUUUUCUACAAGUUGUCUGAAGCCUUGUCUGAAGCAUUCUCUUGCUUCUGGCAUUGGACCGUUUCUUUUCUUUCUCAUUAGUACACUAGCCAGUAGUCACUCAGAGCAGUUGCGUGACCCAUGAAAACAAUACCAAAAGCCGCAGCCCGCAUUUUACCAUGAAAAUAAUUUUUUUUUAUCAUAAAUUUUUAAGUUUUCUGUGAACAUGUUUUUUAAUUAUCUUUUUAUCGCACAUGUCUAUCUUGUAUAUAAAAAGAAAUCCAAGAUACUGUAGCUAACCAUUUUUUUGACACAUAUAUUGCAUGUAUUUUUGACAAGUGGACUUUUGAUUAUUUUACCUAAAUUUUUCCUUCCCUUUUUUGAUUCAAUUGGGUUAAAGGAUUAAAAUAUUUUUUCUCAUUGAGAAAAUUAACUCCAUCUCUUCUUUUACUUCUUGCAGUAACUACUGUCAUCUCUCACCUUUUUUAUUUUUUAUUUUUUUAAACUAAUCUAACUAAGAUUGUUGCCAUGUUCUUUUUUUUUUUUUUUUUGGCAAGAUGAUAGCUACUUAGCAAAAAGAAUUCUUUAUUAUUUUUAUCCCAUUUUACAUUUUCUUUUCUUCCUUUUUUCUUCAUCUCUAAUGUCUCAUGUUUGCUCUAUUUUUUUAUCAUAAUAUUAUAGCCAACUGGCAUUUGUUUGUUAAAUUUAUAGGAUGAUGUUUUUAUUUUAGAGUUCUUCAUGGAUAAAAGGUGAAUUAUUAAAAUAUCUUAGAAUUCAUUUUAUACCAAUGAUCAUUUUCUAAGAAUAAUAGAACAAAAAUUCAUUCUUUUAUUUUCUCCUCCCAUGAUUUGAUUUCUGACUUCACAUUUUGUUUCCUUUUCUUUGUUUUUUUGGUUCCAUUUUGUAAUUUUCUACAAUUUUGUGUAUUUUUUUAGGAGAAAGAUAUAUCAUAUGAUGUUUCCAUCAAGAUAAAUCUAGUUAGGCAUUCUUGUAUCUCCAUUUUUCUCCAUUUCUUUCUUUUUGCAAUUAUUUUAUGGCCUAUUCAAUUUAAUUGAAGGAUCCAAUAAAAUUUUGUAUAUAUUUAAUCUAAAGUUAAUUUUUGUUUGUUUUUUAAGUACUCUAAGUGUUGUAGUAUCAAUUGGGUUGGUAUUCAAGGAUUGCAGUCGGUGGUGGAAGUCACAAUUGAGGCUUUCAGCCUAGAGUGUGACUUGACAAAAAAUUGUUAGAAAAUUCAAAUUUGAUUAGGAAGAUGGUUUUGCAAUAAAAAAUAGUUCAAUUCUAAUUUGUAUAUGUAGAUCAAGAAACAUAGCAAUUCAUAUUUUUAUCUAAUCUUGUUAUUUAUAUUCUGGAGCUGCAGGAUAAUGUUGUCACCUUUAGACGGAAUUUAAAUAGAUGAACUGGAUUCUUCUAUCAAAAGAAAGAAAAAUAUGAAAGUUUAUAGUAAACUAUAUUGAUGUUGAAGAUUGUGCUAUGUUUUAGCAGCUUCCUAAACUUUUUCUCAUUAUUAAAGUACUAAAAGUAUUACGACUGCUUUUGAUUUAAUUUUAACUAAAACUAUACUACUAUUAAUACAUCAAUGCACUUAUAGUGUAUUAAUUUUCUCUCCAUUUUGGGUAUUAUAUAAUGGUGGUUCAAAAAUAUUUAUUCAAAUGAUAAUAAAUAGGGAGGUUGAAUUGAGGCUUUCGGCCUAGAGUGUGAUUUGACAAAAAAUUGUUAGAAAAUUCAAUUUUGAUUAGGAAGAUGAUUUUGCAAUAAAAAAUAGUUCAAUUCGAAUUUGAAUGUGUAGAUCAAGAAACACAGCAAUUCAUAUUUUUAUCUAAUCUUGCUAUUUAUAUUUUGGAGCUGCAGGAUAAUGUUGUCACCUUUAAACGGAAUUUAAAUAGAUGAACUGGAUUCUUCUAUCAAAAGAAAGAAAAUAUAUGAAAGUUUAUAAUAAGCUAUAUUGAUGUUGAAGAUUGUGCCAUGUUUUAGCAGUUUCCUAAACUUUUUCUCAUUAUUAAAGUACUAAAAGUAUUACGACUGCUUUUGAUUUAAUUUUAACUAAAACUAUACUGUUAUUAAUACAUCAAUGCAUUUAUAGUGUAUUAAUUUUCUCUCCAUUUUGGGUAUCAUAUAAUGGUGGUUCAAAAAUCUUUAUUCAAAUGACAAUAAAUAGGGAGGUUGAAUUCAUAGAUGGGAUUUCUCUUUACAACAAAUUUUGAGAGAAAUUUUAUUUAUUCUCCAUAUUUUGUUAAUUGUAUCCCUACAAUAAACAAAAGCUAUAUGAUAAAAAUAAUAGCGGAAGUAUGAUUAAUAAAAAUGAGAGUUCAAAUAAUAUUUGUCAAUUUUAAUUGCUUUGAUGCUCAAUUUUUCUCCUAUAUUUCUAUUCAUUCAUCAUGUGACAAAAUAAUUUGAUGCCAUACAUUCGACUAAACUUCUAGGGAAUCCAAACUGUGCUUUACACAGUUCAAGUACCUCUAGUAUGAAGUAUAAAACGUCAAGAAAUUACCCGACGUUCAGCGCCUAUUCGUAUCGUAUCCUACUCCUGCCACUUUAUCAAUGGCCUCUAGAUAUUUUUCGAUUUUCGAUUUUUAAUUAAGCUAAGCCUGUGCUGCAGCUGAGUCCUAGUGUUUGUUGCUGAUAUUUUUCGAUUUUCGAUUUUCAAUUAAGCUAAGCCUGUGCUGCAACUGAGUCCUAGUGUUUGGAUUGUGAUUUAUUUGCCAAAAUAUAUUUGCUUACAUCAUUAUUACAAUUUCCAACACACCUUUUUAUCUUCCCAAUUACCUUUUUAUCUCACAUACAUCACAUCACAAAAAGUGAUACAGUAAAAAUAUCUCUUAUAAUUCACAAUCCAAACAAAGCCACGCGUGGAAGACUAGUCUUGCAUUUUAUGACGUACAAGUAUGCAAUGAGGUGUUGAAGGGAAUGGAAAGGGCAGAUUGCAAAUCCUAGAAGAAAAUAUAUGUUCCUUUUGAAGGCCAAUUGCAAAGAUGCAAAUAGAUGUAACUGAUAAUAGGAUGUGUAAUUAUUCGAAUUUUCAUUUUUUGAAUUUAUUUCUUACAUAUGUUUUUCAAUUAUUUCUUUAUCUUUUCAAUCACUUUUAUAUAUAUAUCACUUUAUCUCAUAACGUUGUCUUUUAGUCACUUCACUCCCAUAAAUAAUUCAAGUCAAUAUAUUAAGAAAUUUUGAACAAAAAUAUCAAUUUAUUCUAUAGCAUUAUCACAUUGUUAUUAUCACUUCAUGUGACGACCCCACUUCUCCCAAGGGCGAACCCAAGGGUAUCGGCGGGCCGCCUGCCUAACUCGCGCCAGGACUCAAAACUUAAAACAAUCAAAGCCAGAAAAUUCAAAAGAGUACUAUAUACAAUCCCAAAAGAGUUAUAAUUACAUUCUCCAAAAGUAUCGAGUCAAACCACUCUAAUAUACUACAAUCACAACUAGCAGAAGAUAGACCCUAAGAAGGGUCCUUAUACAAACCACCAAAAUAAAAAAACAACAUCCUAACUGUUCAGCUAUUACAAGCCAAUCUAACUAUACUAGUAUACGAGCCAAAAGUCCCCGCGUCGGCCCCUGCUAAGGAAAACAAAAGGAAUGGGGUAAGCUAUAUGCUUAGUAAGUAAACAGGGGCGAAAGCAUAAAUUUCACGUAAUAGUUACACAAUAAGAGUAAAGCAAAAGCAGAAAAGUAACAUCACAUAAUAAGGAUACAGGUGGCUCCAAAGCCAACUCAUAUGCCAUGCGUGAUCUCCUGCCGACACUCCGUCGACUGCAAAUAAUAGUCCGUAGAACUUCACUUGUACACCCACCGACACCUUAUCACCCUCACUGGCCAGUCACCUCACAAACUUGCCCGGGCGAACGAAAUCACAAACUUGAGCUUGAGUCACAAGCUCGGGUCACAAACUUGGUCACCUUCUCGGUGAACCGAAUUCACAAAAUUGGUUCACAAAAUGAACCUACAAACUUGGUGACCUCAGACUAAGUUGGACUGCCUUCGACCAAGCCCUAACCGGCUCGAAUAGUCCAACCAGGUCAAGAGUUCGCCCCAAACUCACAAACUUCACAAAAUUAUUCAAAAUCACAAACUUUGCAAACUUCACAAACUUUAUUCGAAAGUCGCCCCGAGCCACAAGCUCAAGGGUUUUUGGUUCCAAAAGGUUCAUAUACAUAUGCCAAGUACAAUUAUACAUUCAAAUUAGGGUUUAGGUCGAGUGCGAUAAAGUACACCCUCGCCUAAGUGCCCUUUUCACAUAUCUCAAACACAUAGCAAAGAAAACACACCAAACUGGCCUGAAUACUUACUCAAAAUACCAAAAGCAGUACAAGAACAAAAUCGCUUCGCGCGUUUUCGCUAGUAGUGGGCCCCACUGGCUCCGCCUAACUCACCAUGGUCUGAAAUAGAAGAUUUUAUCACAUAAUAUCACAAACGACUAUUAACAGAUCCAAAACAAGCAAAACGGCAAAAUUGGCACACGAAAUUGCGGAAACGGCAAAAAGGGCGCACGCGCUCACGUAAACAUGACGAACGGAAACGGCAGAUUUGACACUCGUUUCUAGUUUACUCAUAAGUUGAGCUACGAAUAUCGGAUUAAGGCGUAUGAGACGCCAUAUCGAAGCUUAAAGGAUGAACAACAACUGUUAUGAAGACAUCCAGAACUGAAACUGGAGGCUUUAGUCCCAGAUGAACCAAACACAAUCACUUACGAAAUCUGGCCAAUGCACAAAUGGUCAGUUUUGAGUGCAAACUGUUUUCUAUGCUACACAUGGUCAAAAGAGCUGAAAAUUGGCAGUUAGAUAGUUCAUUCCAAAUGGAACAACUUUCAUGAAGGUCGGAAAUCCAAAUUCGGAACGAAAAUUGGUCAUCAGGACCAAAACAGAUCUGACCAGAAAAUGGUCAUUUUCACGGGCAAGCCUUGUUUGCUCGGCUAUAUCUCAGGUUUUAUAAAUCCGAUUCAUGAAAUUCCAAGGGCGUUAGAAAGCUCUGAUAUAGGGCUAUAAGUUUGGUGUUUUGGUCGCAAGCCCAAACAGUUUGUAACUCAGUCAAAUGUAAAGCUAAAGUUCCAGCCAUAAACUUUCCAAAAACGUACCAGAAUCACAAACCGUAUUUGAUCUCAAUAUGCGGUAAUGGCACCAAAUUCACUACGGUUAUCGGAUGGGGGUAUAAGACCCACCGUUUCAAAGCUAAGAAACAGGGGUACAAUAAUGUAGAAGGCCACUCAGUCCAAAUCCUAGUACAACUAGGUCAAAUAUGCAAAAUACAAAUCCAGAAUUACCAAAACAGGUUUGCAAAUCACAUAAAACUGUAAUGACUAUAACUCAGUCUAUACAAGUCCAAAUGCCGAAAUUCCAAAGGCAUAUGGUAGCUAAGACGUCCAGCUACAUUUCAUCAGAAGACACCAACAUCCAAAUCCAAACCAAUUCCAGUCAAAAUGGCCAAUUACCAGUACAGUUUUCGCAUUCUGUCCAAAGCAGAACAGCUACAGUAAUUCCGACAUAACUCACACUACACUAAUCCAAAUGACCUGAAAUUUUACAGGCACUUCAAACACAUCAAUACCUACAACUUUCAUGUUUUAAGCCAAGGCCAAUUCGGCUUCUAACCCAGAGAUACAAAACCGGACAGAAUUGAAGGGUAUGAAACCCUAACUUGCUAAUUUAUCUUCCAAACCAGAAAUUUGCUGCAAUUAACUACCAUUCACACCAACUAGCUUCAUUCCCAAUCAUUUCCAAUCAUCAUACAUAGCCACAUCAUAGUAAUCAUAUGCAACCAGCAAAAAUCCCAAAUAAAUAGAAAACUUCAUCAAUCUUGACUAAAAUCAAGAAAUAGUCCACAAAAUCACAGUUAUAACAACCACAAGUCAUUUAUGAAGCAUCUUUAGGUAGAAGAGAGGGGUUCCAUAGUCACUUACCUUAGAACCAAAGAAGAGAGACCACUUAACACCUUAAGUUUCCAACCAACUUCACCACACAACUCACUAUCACUCACUUAAGGGAUUUUAUGGAGAGGUUUCAAGUUUAAUCGGUUAGUUUGUUGAUUUGUGCAAGAUUGGAGCAUGAAAUUUGGAGAGCUUUUCCUUUCCUUUUGCUUGAUGUUGGUCGGCCACAAGAAGGAGAAGAAAUGGUGAAUUUUGGUCAAUUUUUGAGAUAUUUAUCUUUUGGUCAAAAAAAGUCAAGAAAGUGAAUAGUAAUUCUUAAGUCUUUUCCAAUGAAAUGGUGACACUUGUCACCACCAUUAAUGCAUUCCUAUCCUUUCUUUUCUCUCUCACAUCAAUCAUUUCACACACUCUACUUAUCUCUUAACACCCGAUAAAUUUUACACAGUAUCCGGAAUUUAACCUAAUUGGCCGAAUUUUUCCGAACUUUUCGCACUAGUGGGUCCCACGUCCAAUAUACGUUCUUAAUUUCUCAAAAACUAACUAAUACUAGAAACAACAUCUAAAAACUCUAUUUACUCAAUAAAAUUAUCUGGGGAAUUUUCUAAUAAAGAAAAUGUAGAAAAAACGGGUUUUCAAUCUUAACCGGAACUUAGGGUUUAAAUCUUAAUCCCUACUUAGGGUUUUCGAAAUACUUCCAAAACCAAACGUUACCGCCCAAUUAAUGAAUAUAUCAACGUAGAACGAAUUGGGGCCUCACAAUCUCCCCCACUUAGGACAAUUUCGUCCUCGAAAUUUCUAUGAACGGAAUCUAUCAAAUCUAAAGUAACCAGUAGCCUGUACCUUCCACGUUCUUAAAAGAAACGAGACUCUUCAUUCCAGUCCUGACUCUCGGCCUCGUUUUAUUCCACAGUUAUGACCAUGUCCGCGACUAUGUCUUCCUUCCACAUAUAUACACACAUAUAUAUAUAUAGUUUUCCCUUCUCUCUCUUUUCUUUCCAAAAAGGUACUUUAAUGAAUGAAUGCAGUAAAUUGACUACAAUAACAAAAUCCAACAUACCAAUUACACAAAUAACAUAUCACACAUAACACGCCAUAUCAAAAGACGGACAAGCAAGUAUACAAAUACAUAUCAAGUUGGACAGAUAAGCAUGUACACAAACACAUAUACUAACUUUAGGUGGUCGUAAUAUACGGGCGAACCAAAAGGAAAAGGUGAAGUCGUCCCAGUAUCAGACCGUCUGAUCUCUCACGUCCCUUACUAUCCAAACUAGAUGUCCGUUGACCUUUUGUACGCAUUCUAGUCAGGCAAAGCCUGUUCAUGUUUCCAAAAUACAAGUCUCAAGUACCUAGUAGCUUGCAUCGCCUCAAUUCUGGAGUAUUCGGGCACAAGAAUCCGAAAUAAGAUAGUUCACAUCUCGAGCUGGCCAGUCCCAAGAGUAAACCAUCUACAAAUCGAACUUCCUACCCGACAUACCUAUCUAUGGUUCUUAGAUACCAUGAGAAAGAUUGAAAACCUAUAACACUUCAGGGUUCAUAGCUUAUGCUCGAACGAGCACUUAAUCCUUCAUACCUAUUCACCACUCAACCCAAGCUCACUCCGCGCGGAGACCACGCGAAGCAGGCUCUAGGUUUUAUCCCUCAAUUGCUUGACUUUCAAAUCAAAUCAAAUCCCACAGUCCGGCAUCCUAAACUUCAAGCCUAGGAUACACUACAGGAAUCUGAAGCCUAAGCUCUGAUACCAACUGUGACGACCCCACUUCUCCCAAGGGCGAACCCAAGGGUAUCGGCGGGCCGCCUGCCUAGCUCGCGCCAGGACUCAAAACUUAAAACAAUCAAAGCCAGAAAAUUCAAAAGAGUACUAUAUACAAUCCCAAAAGAGUUAUAAUUACAUUCUCCAAAAGUAUCGAGUCAAACCACUCUAAUAUACUACAAUCACAACUAGCAGAAGAUAGACCCUAAGAAGGGUUCUUAUACAAACCACCAAAAUAAAAAAACAACAUCCUAACUGUUCAACUAUUACAAGCCAAUCUAACUAUACUAGUAUACGAGCCAAAAGUCCCCGCGUCGGCCCCUGCUAAGGAAAACAAAAGAAAUGGGGUAAGCUAUAUGCUUAGUAAGUAAACAGGGGCGAAAGCAUAAAUUUCACGUAACAGUUACACAAUAAGAGUAAAGCAAAAGCAGAAAAGUAACAUCACAUAAUAAGGAUACAGGUGGCUCCAAAGCCAACUCAUGUGCCAUGCGUGAUCUCCUGCCGACACUCCGUCGACUGCAAAUAAUAGUCCGUAGAACUUCACUUGUACACCCACCGACACCUUAUCACCCUCACUGGCCAGUCACCUCACAAACUUGCCCGGGCGAACGAAAUCACAAACUUGAGCUUGAGUCACAAGCUCGGGUCACAAAUUUGGUCACCUUCUCGGUGAACCGGAUUCACAAAAUUAGUUCAUAAAAUGAACCUACAAACUUGGUGACCUCAGACUAAGUUGGACUGCCUUCGACCAAGCCCUAACCGGCUCGAAUAGUCCAACCAGGUCAAGAGUUCGCCCCAAACUCACAAACUUCACAAAAUUAUUCAAAAUCACAAACUUUGCAAACUUCACAAACUUUAUUCGAAAGUCGCCCCGAGCCACAAGCUCAAGGGUUUUGGUUCCAAAAGGUUCAUAUACAUACGCCAAGUACAGUUAUACAUUCAAAUUAGGGUUUAGGUCGAGUGCGAUAAAGUACACCCUCGCCUAAGUGCCCUUUUCACAUAUCUCAAACACAUAGCAAAGAAAACACACCAAACUGGCCUGAAUACUUACUCAAAAUACCAAAAGCAGUACAAGAACAAAAUCGCUUCGCGCGUUUUCGCUAGUAGUGGGCCCCACCGGCUCCGCCUAGCUCACCACGGUCUGAAAUAGAAGAUUUUAUCACAUAAUAUCACAAACGACUAUUAACAGAUCCAAAACAAGCAAAACGGCAAAAUUGGCACACGAAAUUGCGGAAACGGCAAAAAGGGCGCACGCGCUCACGUAAACAUGACGAACGGAAACGGCAGAUUUGACACUCGUUUCUAGUUUACUCAUAAGUUGAGCUACGAAUAUCGGAUUAAGGCGUAUGAGACGCCAUAUCGAAGCUUAAAGGAUGAACAACAACUGUUAUGAAGACAUCCAGAACUGAAACUGGAGGCUUUAGUCCCAAAUGAACCAAACACAAUCACUUACGAAAUCUGGCCAAUGCACAAAUGGUCAGUUUUGAGUGCAAACUGUUUUCUAUGCUACACAUGGUCAAAAGAGCUGAAAAUUGGCAGUUAGAUAGUUCAUUCCAAAUGGAACAACUUUCAUGAAGGUCGGAAAUCCAAAUUCGGAACGGAAAUUGGACAUCAGGACCAAAACAGAUCUGACCAGAAAAUGGUCAUUUUCACGGGCAAGCCUUGUUUGCUCGGCUAUAUCUCAGGUUUUAUAAAUCCGAUUCAUGAAAUUCCAAGGGCGUUAGAAAGCUCUGAUAUAGGGCUAUAAGUUUGAUGUUUUGGUCGCAAGCCCAAACAGUUUGUAACUCAGUCAAAUGUAAAGCUAAAGUUCCAGCCAUAAACUUUCCAAAAACGUACCAGAAUCACAAACCGUAUUUGACCUCAAUAUGCGGUAAUGGCACCAAAUUCACUACGGUUAUCGGAUGGGGGUGUAAGACCCACCGUUUCAAAGCUAAGAAACAGGGGUACAAUAAUGUAGAAGGCCACUCAGUCCAAAUCCUAGUACAACUAGGUCAAAUAUGCAAAAUACAAAUCCAGAAUUACCAAAACAGGUUUGCAAAUCACAUAAAACUGUAAUGACUAUAACUCAGUCUAUACAAGUCCAAAUGCCGAAAUUCCAAAGGCAUAUGGUAGCUAAGACGUCCAGCUACAUUUCAUCAGAAGACACCAACAUCCAAAUCCAAACCAAUUCCAGUCAAAAUGGCCAAUUACCAGUACAGUUUUCGCAUUCUGUCCAAAGCAGAACAGCUACAGUAAUUCCGACAUAACUCACACUACACUAAUCCAAAUGACCUGAAAUUUUACAGGCACUUCAAACACAUCAAUACCUACAACUUUCAUGUUUUAAGCCAAGGCCAAUUCGGCUUCUAACCCAGAGAUACAAAACCGGACAGAAUUGAAGGGUAUGAAACCCUAACUUGCUAAUUUAUCUUCCAAACCAGAAAUUUGCUGCAAUUAACUACCAUUCACACCAACUAGCUUCAUUCCCAAUCAUUUCCAAUCAUCAUACAUAGCCACAUCAUAGUAAUCAUAUGCAACCAGCAAAAAUCCCAAAUAAAUAGAAAACUUCAUCAAUCUUGACUAAAAUCAAGAAAUAGUCCACAAAAUCACACUUAUAACAACCACAAGUCAUUUAUGAAGCAUCUUUAGGUAGAAGAGAGGGGUUCCAUAGUCACUUACCUUAGAACCAAAGAAGAGAGACCACUUAGCACCUUAAGCUUCCAACCAACUUCACCACACAACUCACUAUCACUCACUUAAGGGAUUUUAUGGAGAGGUUUCAAGUUUAAUCGGUUAGUUUGUUGAUUUGUGCAAGAUUGGAGCAUGAAAUUUGGAGAGCUUUUCCUUUCCUUUUGCUUGAUGUUGGUCGGCCACAAGAAGGAGACGAAAUGGUGAAUUUUGGUCAAUUUUUGAGAUAUUUAUCUUUUGGUCAAAAAAAGUCAAGAAAAUGAAUAGUAAUUCUUAAGUCUUUUCCAAUGAAAUGGUGACACUUGUCACCACCAUUAAUGCAUUCCUAUCCUUUCUUUUCUCUCUCACAUCAAUCAUUUCACACACUCUACUUAUCUCUUAACACCCGAUAAAUUUUACACAGUAUCCGGAAUUUAACCUAAUUGGCCGAAUUUUUUCGAACUUUUCGCACUAGUGGGUCCCACGUCCAAUAUACGUUCUUAAUUUCUCAAAAACUAACUAAUACUAGAAACAACAUCUAAAAACUCUAUUUACUCAAUAAAAUUAUCUGGGGAAUUUUCUAAUAAAGAAAAUGUAGAAAAAACGGGUUUUCAAUCUUAACCGGAACUUAGGGUUUAAAUCUUAAUCCCUACUUAGGGUUUUCGAAAUACUCCCAAAACCAAACGUUACCGCCCAAUUAAUGAAUAUAUCAACGUAGAACGAACUGGGGCCUCACACUUCAUCCCUUGAAAAUAUAGUGAUAUAAUAUCGCUUUAAUUUCUAACAUUAUUUUGUAGGCAUUUUAUUAUUGUUAAUCUAACUAGUAUGGUCCAAAUUUUUAAAAUAUAUUUAUCCUUUUUUUAUAUAUACUUAAAAAUAAAAAGUUGGGAUGAUUAUUCAUCCUUUUUCCACUUUAAGAGAUCUAAAAGUAUAAAACUAAAAAAAAAUUCUCAAAUUUCUUUUUUCAUACUUAUUAAUACUAGAAAAGAAAAAGGGAAUAUGAAAGAAGGAGACAGUAAAUUGAUUUUGUAAAGAAAGAAAAUAAUGAAGAGUCUAACAUUAUCGUAUUACUUUAAGGUUUUCGGGAUUAUGACUGGUAAAUAGAAAGGUGAAAUAAUUUUAAAAUAAUAAAAGUAUUUAAUUCUUUCUUAUUUGUAUUUUUAAGAAAAAAUAAUUGAACUCUUUCUCUCUCUCUCUCUCCUCCUUCCCAUCUUUUUAUUUAUUUUUUCAAUAUUAACAACAUUACCAAGAAGAAAGAGAUUAACACUUUAACUUUUUUUUUGUUGAUACUAAAAAGGAGAAGAAUUAUUCUAUUUUUUUUAUUAUUUUUAUUAUACAAAGAGGAAGGUACUUUUUUUCUAAAACUCUUUAAAUUACUAAGUUGAUUUAAUGGUGGAAUAAAUUGUCUAAAAAAUAAUUCUAGAGAGUAAAUUGAUAAUGAGGCUAUAGUUUAUGGGAUGGAGUGAUAAUAAUUUUAAUGGAUAAAUAUGUUUUUUCACUUUAAUUAAUAAACUCCGUUAAAUUUGACUAUUAGUCUUGAGAUAAAGUGACUAAAAGAUAACGUUAAUAGGGAAAUUGAUAGUGACACCAAACGUUAAGGAGGUAAAGUGAUAAUAAUCUUAUAUAUCCCGCCUAAAAGGUGCCACCAAAAUUAGCAUAAUUAUUUUUUUUCCCUCUACGCGUGCCAAGGUUACUACGUAUACAUCUUUUUUUUAUAUAAAAAUUAUUGUAUUUGUUGCGUCUAUUUUUCUGUUUUUUUUUUUUUUGAAUACCAUAUUUGUUGUGAUGAUGCUUAUACUGUAUAAUAAUAUAAUUGACAGGAACGAUUGCAAAAGUCCACAUGAGAUACCUUCCUCUCUCAAACAAUGGGAUUCGUGGCAGAUAAUUUGUCAUGGUCACAUUGUUUUUUUUUUUUUUCCUUCUUUAUUUUAACUUUUAAGACAUUAUUCGGUGUACAUCGGACAUUUGUUGCUCGAGUCACGUAUUGCCUUGGCAUGUUACUCCAGCAAUAUCAUUUCUAACCGCCAUAUAUGCCUCCUGUCAGUGUCUCAAUAGAAACGAAUAUACGGCCAUGGAUCAAAUAUUGCCAAAAAAAAAAAAAAAUUCCUGAGCAACGGCAUUGGUUUUUUUUUUUUUUUUUCUUCAAAAAAGGGCUGUCAUAAGUUAGCACGAUAGCCCAUCAUUUUUUUUAAUAAUUGUUGGGAUUGUCAUGCUGACUUAACACACGGCAAUCUAGGAAAUUUUUUUUAAAAAAAUAAAAUCAGACAUAUAGUUUUAAACAUCAAUUCUUUCAAAGUCACAUUUGUUGAAAUUUUUUAUUUUUAUUUUUGACAAUUUUUUGAGGAAUUAGCUAGAUUAAAUUGAAAAUGACACGUAGAUCCACGUCUCAAGGCAAAUGACCAUAUGUCCGUAAAUCAAUCGAAAAUGACGCGACGAGCAUAACCUCACACUUCACCAUGGCAAAAAUAGAAUAGGGAAGACGACAAGGAAAUACAGCAAUAAUGCCUUAGUAUAAUCAUUAAUCACGACUCUCCUUCUUGCUACAUGCUGGCCAAUAAUAUGCCUUACCAAACCACCUUAUUUGUUUUUUUUUUUUUUAUUAUCAAGGAAUCUUUUGAAUAAAUACCUCGUACGAUGAAUGAGUCUAUGAAUUAUGAAAUCUCCCGUGCAAUAAUUUCGUUUUUUCCCCUUCUCCCACACUCUGCUCUUUGUAGUUGGUUCACCAUGGCUACUAACUCAAAUGAGAUUCUUCAUGAUUUUUCUCCCUUAAUCCGCAUCUAUAAAGAUGGUCGAGUCGAAAGAUUGGAGGGGGAAGACACUGUCGCUGCAUCAAUCGAUCCAGAAACCCGAGUUGAAAGUAAAGAUAUCGCGAUGGCACCAGAAUUCAAUAGUGUCUCUGCCAGGCUUUACCUACCCCAAAACGCCAAACCGGGUCAUAGAAUUCCACUUCUAGUCUAUUUUCAUGGCGGUGGAUUUGUCGUGGGAUCUGCCUUUUCUCCUGUUUAUCAAGAACAUCUUAAUUCACUAGUAGCGGAAGCUAAUGUUAUUGUUGUAUCCGUCAAUUAUCGACUAGCCCCAGAACACCCUCUCCCUAUUGCAUAUGAAGAUUCAUGGCUGGCCCUCAAGUGGAUCGCUUCUCAUUCAAAAUCAGGCGAUGGCCCGGAGGAGUGGCUCAAGAAUUAUGCUGAUUUUGAUCGCGUGUACUUCGGUGGGGACAGCGCUGGCGGUAACAUCGCGCACAACAUGGCCUUCAGGUUUGGCAUAGAGGAAUUGCAUGGCGUCAAUCUUAAUGGGAUUUUUCUAAAUUGUCCUUACUUCUGGGGAAAUGAUCCUAUAGCUAAUGAAGCAGGGAGGAAAGGUGAGAAGAACUUUCUCGACAACCUCUGGUUUUGCAUAUGUCCCAGUACGACAGGGCUGGAUGAUCCACGGCUAAAUCCCGCGGCGAAUCCUAUGAUUUCCAGGCUAGGCUGCAAAAGGGUGCUGGUUUAUGUUGGCGGCAAAGAUGUGCUGAAGGACAGAGGCUGGUACUACAAAGAAGCAUUGGAGAAGAGUGGAUGGGCUGGAGAAGUAACGGCUGUAGAGGUUGAAGGGGAAGAACAUGUCUUCAAUUUGUCUUCCCCCAGGGGAGCGAACUCUCUGUCGAUGAUAAAAGAUUUGGCUCGUUUCCUAAACCGCAAUUGAGUGUAAAGGAUACCAAUCUGAAGCAACAUCCUAGCAAGACUAUUACUGUAUCUUUCAAGCAGGAAGAAGCAAGUGGAAAUGUCUCUUAAAAGGGGGAAAAAACACGAAAAAAAACUCUAAUCUUCUGAAAGAUACUAAAGUUUUUGUUUCUAUCUAUGGUUUGGAAGUUGCACUUGGGGUAACGAAUAAGAAUCCUUCUUCUUCUUUACCAAACUUGAGGGAAUUCAGUAAAGCAAGUCUUAAUAUAUAGUUAACAUCGAACUUGCCUUUUACCUUGUCAUCAUUACAAUAAAUCAAUCAGCGCAGUUCCCACCAAGGAGAUGAGCAAAAUAUGAGGUAGAGCGCUUAAUUAGAAAAAAUUUGUCAUUGCUUUUGGUUUGGAUGAAUUACACGCUUCGAAAUCAUACGUAAAUAACCAGUGUUAAAAGAGGAGGGAAAAAGAAGGAAAUUCCAAUGUAACUAAAAGAAAGGGAAAUAUAUAUUAUUGUUUCAAAAAACGAAAGAAGGGAUAAACUAACUAAAAAUUAAUUAGGGGAGGCAAAAUGUGACUGUUUCUGUAGUUUACAGAAAAAAAUUGCAAUUUAACAUAUAAAAUCAUGCUUUUGUUUCCAGCUACCAUUAUUGACUUUUGUCAUUAUUAAGGUGUUUUUAACUGAACUUGACUAGUAGCACAUGAACAGGCCCUAAAAUUGUUAUAAUCUUUUUUUUUUUAAAUAAAAACUAAAUUGCUACAAUCUAAACAUAAGAAAUUGCGUGAAUGUCUACAAAAAAAAAAAAAACACUUAAAUUAGGGUGAUAAAAAAACUUUACUUGUAUUGAAAUACAUAACCUUUGCAAUUUUUCAAGGGAUAAUUUCUGAAAUCUUCCCUAACAUUUCUCUUAAUAUCACUUAAAACUCCUUAGAUUUUGAAAAUUUCAUUUACCAUUCUUAGAUUGACAUUUUCUUUGUAACAUUUUGGCCUUUUUGGAGGAAAUGCAAGAAGGAUAAAAUUUUUGUUCCAAUAAUACCCUUAUGUUAUUCUACUUAUGACGCUUACAACAAUAAUGAAAAAAAUAAAAAUAUGUGUAGUUAUCGAUGCAAUGACGGGUCAUUGUGGCGAUAUACAAUAACUAUUACCUAGUAUAAUGAAUGAUAUUUUAACCAAAAAAAUGGUAUUCUCCUAGAUAUUUUGAUCAUAUUUUGAUGAAUUUUUUUAUUCCUAACUUAUUUAUAAAAUUCUUUAUAUGUAGAAUUUAUGUCGCAAAUGACACAUAUGAAGAGAUUAUUGUAAUUUCAAUAUAAUUUAAAUUACAUCAUGUAUUACAAUAUAUUUCCUAUAAAAAUUUGUUGACUUCUUUAUAAGUAUCCCGCAAAAAGUAUCAAGGUAUUAAUUACUUAGAAAAAUUUAUUUAAAUGCUUGACUUUGACUAAAUUUAUUUUGCCUACGUUACUACCUGCUUGAUAUAAAGAAACAUAGAUUAAUAUUAUUGUAUAGCAAUUUGAUUAAUUUGUACCUAUAUUUUUUGGUUUAAAUUUUUUUUGUUUUUUUUUUUGGUUAAAUAGUUAAGAAGGGUGCAAGGGUAUUGUUAUCAAUUUAUAACAUUUAAUUGGGAUAUUUGAUUUUAUUAAAUUGGUAAGAGAGGCAAGUGAUAUUUCAAAACCUCGGAGAAGUUGAGUGAUAUCACUAGAAAUAAAUGUGAGAGGUUUCUAAAAUUAUCCCAUUUUCCAUUCUAAAAUAUGCUUGUCGGAACUAUGUACAACUCUUGUUUAGCAUCGAAAUGCAAAUCCGGUAUAAUCCAGAAAAGUCAAAUAAUUAUUGUCGACCCCACCACACCACCUUGAUCUUUCAGUCUCUCUAUACUUGCGGAUACGAUUGCAAGUUUCUUACCUGCAAAUAUUUGCUUGUCUUUAUUCUGCUUCCUGACUCCUCCGUAUUGCUCUCUCCGUUGUUCAACAAUGGCUGCAAACUCACCUGAGAUACUCCAUGACUUCUCUCCCAUGAUCCGUGUAUACAAGGACGGCCGAGUCGAAAGAUUAUUAGGCAAAGAUAUUGUAGCUGCAUCGGUGGAUCCAGAAACCGGAACUGAAUCAAAAGAUGUCCAAAUAUCACCAGAACUAAACAUAUCUGCUAGGCUUUACCUGCCCAAAACACCUCGACAGGAUAAAAAACUUCCUCUUCUAGUUUACUUCCACGGUGGAGGCUUUGUGGUCGAAUCUGCCUUCUCUCCUCCAUAUCACACGCACCUCAACGCAGUAGUUGCAGAGGCUGGUGUUGUCGCAGUUUCAAUUAACUAUAGGCUCGCCCCCGAGCACCCUCUACCUACUGCUUAUGAAGAUUCUUGGAUUGCAGUCAAAUGGGUUGCCUCUCAUUCGAAUGGCCAGGGUCCUGAGGUAUGGCUCAGGGAUUAUGUUGACUUUGAUAGCGUGUUUUUUGGCGGGGAUAGUGCUGGUGGCAACUUAGCACAUAACAUGGCGUUAAGGGUUGGACUGGAGAAACUGGACGGCUUCAAUCUUGAUGGGAUUUUUC
RNAcentral lists this long non-coding RNA (20625 nucleotides) under Coffea arabica (coffee). Its description in RNAcentral is "long non-coding RNA (CARA_LNC001031)". The record is from RNAcentral. Lineage: Eukaryota; Viridiplantae; Streptophyta; Magnoliopsida; Gentianales; Rubiaceae.